GAUACCCUGGUAGUCCACGCUGUAAACGAUGAAUACUAGGUGUGGGAGGACUGACCCCUUCCGUGCCGCAGUUAACACAAUAAGUAUUCCACCUGGGGAGUACGACCGCAAGGUUGAAACUCAAAGGAAUUGACGGGGGCCCGCACAAGCAGUGGAUUAUGUGGUUUAAUUCGACGCAACGCGAAGAACCUUACCAGGACUUGACAUCCUACUAACGAAGUAGAGAUACAUCAGGUGCCCUUCGGGGAAAGUAGAGACAGGUGGUGCAUGGUUGUCGUCAGCUCGUGUCGUGAGAUGUUGGGUUAAGUCCCGCAACGAGCGCAACCCCUAUUGUUAGUUGCUACGCAAGAGCACUCUAGCGAGACUGCCGUUGACAAAACGGAGGAAGGCGGGGACGACGUCAAAUCAUCAUGCCCCUUAUGUCCUGGGCUACACACGUAAUACAAUGGUGGUCAACAGAGGGAGGCAAGACUGCGAAGUGGAGCAAAUCCCUAAAAGCCAUCUCAGUUCGGAUUGCAGGCUGCAACUCGCCUGCAUGAAGCUGGAAUUGCUAGUAAUCGCGGAUCAGCAAGCCGCGGUGAAUACGUUCCCGGGCCUUGUACACACCGCCCGUCACACCAUGAGAGUCGGGAACACCCGAAGUCCGUAGUCUAACCGCAAGGGGGGCGCGGCCGAAGGUGGGUCCGGUAAUUGGGGUGAAGUCGUAACAAGGUACC
Molecule: ribosomal RNA, 716 nt
Filed under: uncultured bacterium
Lineage: Bacteria
Description: bacterial SSU rRNA
Rfam family: Bacterial small subunit ribosomal RNA
Source: RNAcentral